GUGACUGGGGGGCGGAGCUUAUCGGUUCUCCUGGGAAGUUCGGCAGGUACAGACCAGAGGGAACCCGCCCGGCCGACGUUAGUAGGCUGUUAUCUUUUUUGGUCAGGAAAAAAGGUCUCCAAUUUGAGCAAGCGGGGGGCGAUCCCGGCGUCAGGGCGGAUGGAAUCGUCGAAGCGCGUGUCUGACUGGUCGGUGGACGAGGUGUUGGAGUGGGUGGAGCAGCAGUUCCCGGGUCAGCAAAGCACGCUGCAGACGGCCUUUCUGCAGCACGCAGUGUCAGGCCGAGCGCUGCUGCGGAUGAGGGGGCACCACCUACACCACCUGGGGGUGGAGGCCCCGGCCCAGCAGGGCAUCCUGCAGGACAUCCUGCUCCUCCGGGUGCAGGAGGAGCUGGACAAUCUCAACGACAUCUUCUCGGAGAAAUGAGUUAGUGGCAGCAGGCGAGGUGCAGAGAUGGAUUCAUCCUUGUCCAAGCAGCAGCUUCCGAACAGAACGCCAAAGAGCUCCAAAAUUGCGCAAACAAUUCUCCAUUGUUGAUCCGUUUUUCAUUACAUUAAAUCGUUUUGAUUG
This 570-nucleotide long non-coding RNA is filed under the name Gadus morhua (Atlantic cod). RNAcentral describes it as "lncRNA (ENSGMOG00000035613.1)". Lineage: Eukaryota; Metazoa; Chordata; Actinopteri; Gadiformes; Gadidae. The record is from RNAcentral.